This 398-nucleotide ribosomal RNA is filed under the name uncultured bacterium. Its description in RNAcentral is "partial 16S ribosomal RNA". It matches the Rfam family "Bacterial small subunit ribosomal RNA", at positions 523 to 918 of the family's 1533-position model. The record is from RNAcentral.
AUACGUAGGGUGCGAGCGUUGUCCGGAAUUACUGGGCGUAAAGAGCUCGUAGGUGGUUUGUCGCGUCGUCUGUGAAAUUCCGGGGCUUAACUCCGGGCGUGCAGGCGAUACGGGCAUAACUUGAGUACUGUAGGGGAGACUGGAAUUCCUGGUGUAGCGGUGAAAUGCGCAGAUAUCAGGAGGAACACCGGUGGCGAAGGCGGGUCGCGGGGCAGUAACUGACGCUGAGGAGCGAAAGCAUGGGUAGCGAACAGGAUUAGAUACCCUGGUAGUCCAUGCCGUAAACGGUGGGCGCUAAGUGUAGGGGUCUUCCACGACUUCUGUGCCGUAGCUAACGCAUUAAGCGCCCCGCCUGGGGAGUACGGCCGCAAGGCUAAAACUCAAAGGAAUUGACGGGG